Molecule: ribosomal RNA, 464 nt
Filed under: uncultured bacterium
Lineage: Bacteria
Description: partial 16S ribosomal RNA
Rfam family: Bacterial small subunit ribosomal RNA
Source: RNAcentral
CUACGGGCGGCUGCAGUGGGGAAUAUUGCACAAUGGGCGCAAGCCUUAUGCAGCCAUGCCGCGUGUAUGAAGAAGGCCUUCGGGUUGUAAAGUACUUUCAGCGGGGAGGAAGGGAGUAAAGUUAAUACCUUUGCUCAUUGACGUUACCCGCAGAAGAAGCACCGGCUAACUCCGUGCCAGCAGCCGCGGUAAUACGGAGGGUGCAAGCGUUAAUCGGAAUUACUGGGCGUAAAGCGCACGCAGGCGGUUUGUUAAGUCAGAUGUGAAAUCCCCGGGCUCAACCUGGGAACUGCAUCUGAUACUGGCAAGCUAGAGUCUCGUAGAGGGGGGUAGAAUUCCAGGUGUAGCGGUGAAAUGCGUAGAGAUCUGGAGGAAUACCGGUGGCGAAGGCGGCCCCCUGGACGAAGACUGACGCUCAGGUGCGAAAGCGUGGGGAGCAAACAGGAUUAGAUACCCCAGUAGUC